CCGAAUUGGCAGACGUCCAUAAUGUCUUCCAUGUAUCCUCAUUACGAAAAUAUCAGCCUGACCCAUCCCAUAUCUUGAAUAUGAAUCUUUACCAAUCAGGAAUGACCUAUCAUUCAUUAAACAACCAAUUUUGAUACUGGAUAGGAGGGUGCACGUGUUGCGCAACAAGGAGAUUCCUUUGGUCCGUAUAUUAUGGCAGUACCAUUCAAUAGAUGAGUCGACUUGGGAACGAG
RNAcentral lists this long non-coding RNA (233 nucleotides) under Amborella trichopoda. RNAcentral's name for it is "long non-coding RNA (ATRI_LNC001363)". The record is from RNAcentral. Lineage: Eukaryota; Viridiplantae; Streptophyta; Magnoliopsida; Amborellales; Amborellaceae.